RNAcentral lists this ribosomal RNA (253 nucleotides) under uncultured bacterium. RNAcentral's name for it is "partial 16S ribosomal RNA". It matches the Rfam family "Bacterial small subunit ribosomal RNA", at positions 524 to 776 of the family's 1533-position model. The record is from RNAcentral.
UACGUAGGGGGCUAGCGUUGUCCGGAAUCAUUGGGCGUAAAGAGCGCGUAGGCGGCCAGAUAAGUCCGGUGUGAAAGUCACAGGCUCAACCUGUGAAUGCCGCUGGAAACUGUCUGGCUAGAGUCCGGAAGGGGCGAGUGGAAUUCCUGGUGUAGCGGUGAAAUGCGCAGAUAUCAGGAGGAACACCAAUGGCGAAGGCAGCUCACUGGGACGGUAUUGACGCUGAGACGCGAAAGCGUGGGGAGCAAACAGG